Molecule: unclassified non-coding RNA, 222 nt
Filed under: Allium dictuon
Lineage: Eukaryota; Viridiplantae; Streptophyta; Magnoliopsida; Asparagales; Amaryllidaceae
Description: partial external transcribed spacer
Source: RNAcentral
AMCCAACACUGGCACUGCCGUACACUCACCAAUAAUUACACACACGAUACAGUCCGAGGGACGAAAAACGCCGGUUGACUGCUCAUGGUAUUGAGAAAGUAUGGAUACACGAAUUAAAACGAUCCAAGCUACAACGGUAGCACCUGUUGACCGGGCCAUACCUUAUAACACAAACUACCACAAAUAGACAUGGCGGGGAGCAGAAYAGGUUCACACACCCCC